CCCACUGUCUGUUCUGCAGCUCAGUCAAGUACAGCCGCCCUCGGAAAGUGCAAAAGCAGCCACGAGACAGAUCCAGGCUUUGUUGCUAAUUUCCCAGGGUGAAAAUUGACAAGCCUGCCAGUGCAGUCAGCACAACCCAAUGCAUAUGCUACUGACAAACGCUGGGGACCGUCCCCUCCCACCCAUCCCCAUCACACAGAGAAUGUGACCUCUGCAGGACUGGACUCCCGGAAGGACCAUACCUCCUGGACUUACCCACCAGAAGAACUGCGAAAGAGCUCAGGAGGAGAAGGAUGAAAACUUUAAGGAACAAUGAAGGAGAGAGGUGCCGCUCUGAACCGGAAUAAAUGGAAUGUUUUGCUCACAAUGGAUUUUUAUUAAAUAGGAAUCAAGUUGAUUGGAAUUAAACAAGAAAGUCAGCCUUCAACACAAUGUUUAUAAUGUUAAUCUAAGUUGUUGAUAAAAAGAAAACCUUGAUCUUGCUACUUUAUAUUUGUUUUCACCAUAUGCAUACAUUCAGAAAAGAUUUCUGGAACUCGGUGUAAAGGUUUAUUUUGUCAUCUGUCUUCAUGAAUUCACCAUACGUUAUUAAGAGUCCCACUCUGGCUCAGCAUCUGUAGUCCUGCCUCAGAGCCUCCCACUUAAUCAGUCCUUCAUAACUGCUUGCUACUGGAUGGGCUAAAUGGAAAAAAAAUAUAAAACAUGAUUGGAAAGAUGUGAAAAACAGUUGAUCAAAAUGAAAUCAUUAUUGCUUAAAACCACUAGCUCUCUGAGGCAAUAAAGAUGGAAAACAA
This is a long non-coding RNA of Mesocricetus auratus (golden hamster), 794 nucleotides long. RefSeq lists it as uncharacterized. Lineage: Eukaryota; Metazoa; Chordata; Mammalia; Rodentia; Cricetidae. The transcript is spliced from 3 exons. The record is from RefSeq and is a predicted model, not a curated record.